RNAcentral lists this transfer RNA (75 nucleotides) under Opitutaceae bacterium. RNAcentral's name for it is "tRNA-Gly". It matches the Rfam family "tRNA". Rfam says of the family: Transfer RNA (tRNA) molecules are approximately 80 nucleotides in length. The record is from RNAcentral. RNAcentral also lists the same sequence under 1 other name. Lineage: Bacteria; Pseudomonadati; Verrucomicrobiota; Opitutia; Opitutales; Opitutaceae.
GCGGGCGUGGUAUAGUGGUUAUCACGCGACCUUCCCAAGGUUGAUACCCGGGUUCGAUUCCCGGCGCCCGCACCA